Molecule: ribosomal RNA, 858 nt
Filed under: uncultured bacterium
Lineage: Bacteria
Description: bacterial SSU rRNA
Rfam family: Bacterial small subunit ribosomal RNA
Source: RNAcentral
AACGAACGCUGGCGGCGUGCUUAACACAUGCAAGUCGAGUGCGCGUACCGUAGCAAUACGGUAUGGCGCACGGCGCACGGGUGCGUAACACGUGGGCAAUCUGCCCUUCGAUGGGGAAUAACUCCGGGAAACCGAAGCUAAUUCCGCAUAACAUUCCUUGGACUUCGGUUCGAGGACUCAAAGCCGUAAGGCGUCGAAGGAGGAGCCCGCGCCCGAUUAGCUAGUUGGUGAGGUAACGGCUCACCAAGGCAAUGAUCGGUAGCUGGUCUGAGAGGAUGGCCAGCCACACUGGAACUGAGACACGGUCCAGACUCCUACGGGAGGCAGCAGUGGGGAAUCUUGCGCAAUGGGCGAAAGCCUGACGCAGCGACGCCGCGUGGGGGAUGAAGCAUUUCGGUGUGUAAACCCCUUUCGACUGGGACGAAUACCUCGCAAGAGGGGUGACGGUACCAGUAGAAGAAGGCCCGGCUAACUACGUGCCAGCAGCCGCGGUAAGACGUAGGGGGCCAGCGUUGUUCGGAAUUACUGGGUGUAAAGGGUUCGUAGGCGGUGUGGCAAGUCGGGAGUGAAAUCUAUGGGCUUAACCCAUAGGCUGCUUCCGAAACUGCCGUGCUUGAGUGUGGGAGAGGCGCGUGGAAUUGCAGGUGUAGCGGUGAAAUGCGUAGAUAUCUGCAGGAACACCCGUGGCGAAAGCGGCGCGCUGGACCACUACUGACGCUGAGGAACGAAAGCUAGGGGAGCAAAACAGGAUUAGAUACCCUGGUAGUCCUAGCCCUAAACGAUCAGGACUUGGGGUGCCACCCGUUCGGGUGUCGUCCCGGAGCUAGCGCGUUUAAGUCCUGCACCUGGGGAGUACGG